UACGGGGGGUGCGAGCGUUGUCCGGAAUCACUGGGCGUAAAGGGCGCGUAGGUGGCCUGAUAAGGGUGUGGUGAAAGUCCGGGGCUUAACCCCGGAUCUGCCGUGCCGACUGUUAGGCUAGAGUGCUGUAGGGGCAGGCGGAAUUCCGGGUGUAGCGGUGGAAUGCGUCGAGAUCCGGAGGAAGACCGGUGGCGAAGGCGGCCUGCUGGGCAGAUACUGACACUGAGGCGCGACAGCGUGGGGAGCAAACAGG
RNAcentral lists this ribosomal RNA (253 nucleotides) under uncultured bacterium. RNAcentral describes it as "partial 16S ribosomal RNA". It matches the Rfam family "Bacterial small subunit ribosomal RNA", at positions 524 to 776 of the family's 1533-position model. The record is from RNAcentral.